CAGAGUUCAUGCCCACUAACUCCACCCUUUGUUUACAUACCAUUGUUGCUUUGGCAGGCCCGUCGCAAGACAACCGGCUUCGGCUGGUCAGCGCCUGCCAGAGGACCUAAAACUCUUGUUUAAUCAUAUUGUCUGAGUACUAUAUAAUAGUUA
This 153-nucleotide unclassified non-coding RNA is filed under the name uncultured Helotiales. RNAcentral describes it as "sequence contains ITS1". The record is from RNAcentral. Lineage: Eukaryota; Fungi; Ascomycota; Leotiomycetes; Helotiales.